Molecule: non-coding RNA, 305 nt
Organism: Paramuricea clavata
Lineage: Eukaryota; Metazoa; Cnidaria; Anthozoa; Malacalcyonacea; Plexauridae
Source: the annotation of a GenBank genome assembly
GUCCUGUAUUUCGGUCUCGGAACUGCCGUAUGUCGUCACGGUAUAAGUUAACUGUGUAGUUCGUAUAUUUGCCUAGCCACAUGUUGUGAUUGAGGCUAUGUGAGGAUUGUAAGUUUAUCACCUAGUACUAUUUUAAGUAGAUGCAGUUAGUGAGUUAGGUUUUGUGCAUGCUCACAGGGUUUUGAAAGCAAACCAUGCCGUGAAGUAUGUGAAGCCUAUGGUUUGUGUCAUGUAUCUAACUAUCUCAGAGGUAGAAUACCUAAAAGUAGAUGUUGUACAAACUACAAAGUUGUGGUUUAUAGAAU